AAAUUGAAGAGUUUGAUCAUGGCUCAGAUUGAACGCUGGCGGCAGGCCUAACACAUGCAAGUCGAACGGUAACAGGAAGCAGCUUGCUGCUUUGCUGACGAGUGGCGGACGGGUGAGUAAUGUCUGGGAAACUGCCUGAUGGAGGGGGAUAACUACUGGAAACGGUGGCUAAUACCGCAUAACGUCGCAAGACCAAAGAGGGGGACCUUCGGGCCUCUUGCCAUCAGAUGUGCCCAGAUGGGAUUAGCUAGUUGGUGAGGUAACGGCUCACCAAGGCGACGAUCCCUAGCUGGUCUGAGAGGAUGACCAGCCACACUGGAACUGAGACACGGUCCAGACUCCUACGGGAGGCAGCAGUGGGGAAUAUUGCACAAUGGGCGCAAGCCUGAUGCAGCCAUGCCGCGUGUAUGAAGAAGGCCUUCGGGUUGUAAAGUACUUUCAGCGGGGAGGAAGGUGUUGUGGUUAAUAACCGCAGCAAUUGACGUUACCCGCAGAAGAAGCACCGGCUAACUCCGUGCCAGCAGCCGCGGUAAUACGGAGGGUGCAAGCGUUAAUCGGAAUUACUGGGCGUAAAGCGCACGCAGGCGGUCUGUCAAGUCGGAUGUGAAAUCCCCGGGCUCAACCUGGGAACUGCAUUCGAAACUGGCAGGCUUGAGUCUUGUAGAGGGGGGUAGAAUUCCAGGUGUAGCGGUGAAAUGCGUAGAGAUCUGGAGGAAUACCGGUGGCGAAGGCGGCCCCCUGGACAAAGACUGACGCUCAGGUGCGAAAGCGUGGGGAGCAAACAGGAUUAGAUACCCUGGUAGUCCACGCCGUAAACGAUGUCUACUUGGAGGUUGUGCCCUUGAGGCGUGGCUUCCGGAGCUAACGCGUUAAGUAGACCGCCUGGGGAGUACGGCCGCAAGGUUAAAACUCAAAUGAAUUGACGGGGGCCCGCACAAGCGGUGGAGCAUGUGGUUUAAUUCGAUGCAACGCGAAGAACCUUACCUGGUCUUGACAUCCACAGAAGUUUUCAGAGAUGAGAAUGUGCCUUCGGGAACCGUGAGACAGGUGCUGCAUGGCUGUCGUCAGCUCGUGUUGUGAAAUGUUGGGUUAAGUCCCGCAACGAGCGCAACCCUUAUCCUUUGUUGCCAGCGGUUAGGCCGGGAACUCAAAGGAGACUGCCAGUGAUAAACUGGAGGAAGGUGGGGAUGACGUCAAGUCAUCAUGGCCCUUACGACCAGGGCUACACACGUGCUACAAUGGCGCAUACAAAGAGAAGCGACCUCGCGAGAGCAAGCGGACCUCAUAAAGUGCGUCGUAGUCCGGAUUGGAGUCUGCAACUCGACUCCAUGAAGUCGGAAUCGCUAGUAAUCGUGGAUCAGAAUGCCACGGUGAAUACGUUCCCGGGCCUUGUACACACCGCCCGUCACACCAUGGGAGUGGGUUGCAAAAGAAGUAGGUAGCUUAACCUUCGGGAGGGCGCUUACCACUUUGUGAUUCAUGACUGGGGUGAAGUCGUAACAAGGUAACCGUAGGGGAACCUGCGGUUGGAUCACCUCCUUA
This 1542-nucleotide ribosomal RNA is filed under the name Salmonella enterica subsp. enterica serovar Bareilly str. CFSAN000969. RNAcentral's name for it is "bacterial SSU rRNA". It matches the Rfam family "Bacterial small subunit ribosomal RNA". Lineage: Bacteria; Pseudomonadati; Pseudomonadota; Gammaproteobacteria; Enterobacterales; Enterobacteriaceae. The record is from RNAcentral.